Molecule: ribosomal RNA, 530 nt
Filed under: uncultured bacterium
Lineage: Bacteria
Description: bacterial SSU rRNA
Rfam family: Bacterial small subunit ribosomal RNA
Source: RNAcentral
CCUUGACAUCCAGAGAACUUAGCAGAGAUGCUUUGGUGCCUUCGGGAACUCUGAGACAGGUGCUGCAUGGCUGUCGUCAGCUCGUGUUGUGAAAUGUUGGGUUAACGUCCGCAACGAGCGCAACCCUUAUCCUUUGUUGCCAGCGGUUCGGCCGGGAACUCAAAGGAGACUGCCGGUGAUAAACCGGAGGAAGGUGGGGAUGACGUCAAGUCAUCAUGGCCCUUACGGCCAGGGCUACACACGUGCUACAAUGGCGCAUACAAAGAGAAGCGACCUCGCGAGAGCAAGCGGACCUCAUAAAGUGCGUCGUAGUCCGGAUUGGAGUCUGCAACUCGACUCCAUGAAGUCGGAAUCGCUAGUAAUCGUAGAUCAGAAUGCUACGGUGAAUACGUUCCCGGGCCUUGUACACACCGCCCGUCACACCAUGGGAGUGGGUUGCAAAAGAAGUAGGUAGCUUAACCUUCGGGAGGGCGCUUACCACUUUGUGAUUCAUGACUGGGGUGAAGUCGUAACAAGGUAAGCGUACGUGU